CUACGGGCCGCUGCAGUGGGGAAUAUUGCACAAUGGGCGCAAGCCUGAUGCAGCAACGCCGCGUGAGGGAUGAAGGCCUUCGGGUUGUAAACCUCUUUUAGCAGGGAAGAAGCGAAAGUGACGGUACCUGCAGAAAAAGCACCGGCUAACUACGUGCCAGCAGCCGCGGUAAUACGUAGGGUGCAAGCGUUGUCCGGAAUUAUUGGGCGUAAAGAGCUCGUAGGCGGUUUGUCACGUCUGCUGUGAAAAUCCAAGGCUCAACCUUGGACUUGCAGUGGGUACGGGCAGGCUAGAGUGCGGUAGGGGAGAGGGGAAUUCCUGGUGUAGCGGUGGAAUGCGCAGAUAUCAGGAGGAACACCAAUGGCGAAGGCACAUCUCUGGGCCGUAACUGACGCUGAGGAGCGAAAGCGUGGGGAGCGAACAGGAUUAGAUACCCGAGUAGUC
This 444-nucleotide ribosomal RNA is filed under the name uncultured bacterium. RNAcentral describes it as "partial 16S ribosomal RNA". It matches the Rfam family "Bacterial small subunit ribosomal RNA", at positions 339 to 795 of the family's 1533-position model. The record is from RNAcentral.